GCUGUGGUGGUUCAGUGGUAGAAUUCUCACCUGGGGGAGACUCAGGUUCAAUUCCUAGCCAAUGCA
This 66-nucleotide transfer RNA is filed under the name Loxodonta africana (African savanna elephant). It matches the Rfam family "tRNA". Rfam says of the family: Transfer RNA (tRNA) molecules are approximately 80 nucleotides in length. Lineage: Eukaryota; Metazoa; Chordata; Mammalia; Proboscidea; Elephantidae. The record is from Rfam by way of RNAcentral.